GACGGUGUGACCGAGUGGUUAAGGUGGUUGACUUGAAAUCAAUUGCUCUCUGAGCGCCAGGGUUCAAAUCCCUGCGCCGUCG
Thecamonas trahens ATCC 50062 is the source of this 82-nucleotide transfer RNA. It matches the Rfam family "tRNA". Rfam says of the family: Transfer RNA (tRNA) molecules are approximately 80 nucleotides in length. Their secondary structure includes four short double-helical elements and three loops (D, anti-codon, and T loops). The record is from Rfam. Lineage: Eukaryota; Apusomonadida; Apusomonadidae.